UCAUUUGGGGCCUUAUUUUAUUCAAGCUCAGGUAAAGAGCAAUUGAGUUUCUCCUUGGAUCCUCAAGUACCAUUUUUAUUAAACUGACUUUUUCAGGCAGUGGUGAAAUCUCUAGAACUCUGAAGGACAGGAAGACCCACAGCGUGUGGAAGCUCUGACAACCAAGCCCAGAGGAAGAGGACUUAGGCAGGCUUGAGACUGAAGCAUCCGGUCUCAAGAACUGUGACCUAUAGUAGCAGUGCUAACCUGAAUACCAGCUGCUGGGGAGGAAGAGCAGAGGGUUCUUCUUUUCCUACUUAGGCCUGGAAGUUUCCUGAAUGGCAAUGUGGGACCCCAAAUGCAGAAAUGAAAUCUGGUUACGUUACCUGUUCAAAUUUCCAGCCAUCAGACAUGGUGGAGACCAUCUGAGUCAACUCCUCUUCCUGGCACUGUAACA
Pantherophis guttatus is the source of this 436-nucleotide long non-coding RNA. RefSeq lists it as uncharacterized. The record is from RefSeq and is a predicted model, not a curated record. Lineage: Eukaryota; Metazoa; Chordata; Lepidosauria; Squamata; Colubridae.